This 71-nucleotide transfer RNA is filed under the name Bos taurus (domestic cattle). It matches the Rfam family "tRNA". From Rfam's summary of the family: Transfer RNA (tRNA) molecules are approximately 80 nucleotides in length. Their secondary structure includes four short double-helical elements and three loops (D, anti-codon, and T loops). The record is from Rfam by way of RNAcentral. RNAcentral also lists the same sequence under 3 other names. Lineage: Eukaryota; Metazoa; Chordata; Mammalia; Artiodactyla; Bovidae.
UCCCCAGUGGUUCAGUGGUAAAGAAUCUGCCUGCAAUGCAGGAGACUUGGGUUCAAUCCCUGGUUCGGGAA